CAGCCGCCGCGGUAAUACGUAGGUGGCAAGCGUUGUCCGGAAUUAUUGGGCGUAAAGCGCGCGCAGGCGGUCCUUUAAGUCUGAUGUGAAAGCCCACGGCUCAACCGUGGAGGGUCAUUGGAAACUGGGGGACUUGAGUACAGAAGAGAAGAGUGGAAUUCCACGUGUAGCGGUGAAAUGCGUAGAGAUGUGGAGGAACACCAGUGGCGAAGGCGACUCUUUGGUCUGUAACUGACGCUGAGGCGCGAAAGCGUGGGGAGCAAACAGG
Molecule: ribosomal RNA, 268 nt
Filed under: uncultured prokaryote
Description: partial 16S ribosomal RNA
Rfam family: Bacterial small subunit ribosomal RNA
Source: RNAcentral